This 253-nucleotide ribosomal RNA is filed under the name uncultured bacterium. Its description in RNAcentral is "partial 16S ribosomal RNA". It matches the Rfam family "Bacterial small subunit ribosomal RNA", at positions 524 to 776 of the family's 1533-position model. The record is from RNAcentral.
UACGUAGGGUGCGAGCGUUGUCCGGAAUUACUUGGCGUAAAGCGCACGUAGGCGGCUUGGUAUGUCGGGUGUGAAAUCCCCGGGCUCAACCUGGGAACUGCAUUUGUGACUGCACAGCUGGAGUGCGGCAGAGGGGGAUGGAAUUCCGCGUGUAGCAGUGAAAUGCGUAGAUAUGCGGAGGAACACCGAUGGCGAAGGCAAUCCCCUGGGCCUGCACUGACGCUCAUGCACGAAAGCGUGGGGAGCAAACAGG